AUUGAACGCUGGCGGCAUGCCUUACACAUGCAAGUCGAACGGUAACAGGUCUUCGGAUGCUGACGAGUGGCGAACGGGUGAGUAAUACAUCGGAACGUGCCCGAUCGUGGGGGAUAACGCAGCGAAAGCUGUGCUAAUACCGCAUACGAUCUACGGAUGAAAGCGGGGGAUCGCAAGACCUCGCGCGGACGGAGCGGCCGAUGGCAGAUUAGGUAGUUGGUGGGAUAAAAGCUUACCAAGCCGACGAUCUGUAGCUGGUCUGAGAGGACGACCCGCCACACUGGGACUGAGACACGGCCCAGACUCCUACGGGAGGCAGCAGUGGGGAAUUUUGGACAAUGGGCGCAAGCCUGAUCCAGCCAUGCCGCGUGCAGGAUGAAGGCCUUCGGGUUGUAAACUGCUUUUGUACGGAACGAAAAAGCUCUCUCUAAUACAGGGGGUGAAUGACGGUACCGUAAGAAUAAGCACCGGCUAACUACGUG
RNAcentral lists this ribosomal RNA (482 nucleotides) under uncultured bacterium. Its description in RNAcentral is "partial 16S ribosomal RNA". It matches the Rfam family "Bacterial small subunit ribosomal RNA", at positions 30 to 507 of the family's 1533-position model. The record is from RNAcentral.